Molecule: ribosomal RNA, 441 nt
Filed under: uncultured bacterium
Lineage: Bacteria
Description: partial 16S ribosomal RNA
Rfam family: Bacterial small subunit ribosomal RNA
Source: RNAcentral
CCUACGGGAGGCUGCAGUGGGGAAUAUUGCACAAUGGGCGAAAGCCUGAUGCAGCAACGCCGCGUGAAGGAAGAAGGCCUUCGGGGCGUAAAGUUCUGUCCUUGGGGAAGAAGAACUGCCGUUCCCGAAGGAGGAAGCCCGGGCUAACUACGUCCCAGCAGCGGCGGUAAUACGUAGGGGGGAAGGGUUAUCCGGAAUUAUGGGGCGAAAGGGGUACGUGGGUGGGAGCUUAAGCGCAGGGUUUAAGCCACGGGCUCAACCAUUGGUUGCCCUGGGAACUGGGUUGCUUGAGUGCGGGAGAGGAAAGCGGAAUUCCUAGUGUAGCGGUGAAAUGCGUAGAUAUUAGGAGGAACACCAGUGGCGAAGGCGGCUUACUGGACCAUAACUGACGCUGAGGUACGAAAGCGUGGGGAGCGAACAGGAUUAGAUACCCGAGUAGUC